UUCCAGACUCCUACGGGAGGCAGCAGUGGGGGAUAUUGCACAAUGGGGGAAACCCUGAUGCAGCGACGCCGCGUGUGGGAAGACGGUCUUCUGGAUUGUAAACCACUGUCCCCAGGGACGAAAAUGACGGUACCUGGGGAGGAAGCUCCGGCUAACUACGUGCCAGCAGCCGCGGUAAUACGUAGGGAGCGAGCGUUGUCCGGAUUUACUGGGUGUAAAGGGUGCGUAGGCGGCCCUGCAAGUCAGAAGUGAAAUCCAUGGGCUUAACCCGUGAACUGCUUUUGAAACUGCAGGACUUGAGUGGAGUAGAGGUAGGCGGAAUUCCCGGUGUAGCGGUGAAAUGCGUAGAGAUCGGGAGGAACACCAGUGGCGAAGGCGGCCUACUGGGCUUUAACUGACGCUGAAGCACGAAAGCGUGGGUAGCAAACAGGAUUAGAUACCCUUGUA
RNAcentral lists this ribosomal RNA (447 nucleotides) under uncultured bacterium. RNAcentral describes it as "bacterial SSU rRNA". It matches the Rfam family "Bacterial small subunit ribosomal RNA", at positions 329 to 792 of the family's 1533-position model. The record is from RNAcentral.